RNAcentral lists this ribosomal RNA (301 nucleotides) under uncultured bacterium. Its description in RNAcentral is "partial 16S ribosomal RNA". It matches the Rfam family "Bacterial small subunit ribosomal RNA", at positions 509 to 809 of the family's 1533-position model. The record is from RNAcentral.
CAGUAGCCACGGUAAUACAGAGGAUGCAAGCGUUAUCCGGAAUGAUUGGGCGUAAAGCGUCUGUAGGUGGCUUUUCAAGUCCGCCGUCAAAUCCCAGGGCUCAACCCUGGACAGGCGGUGGAAACUACCAAGCUGGAGUACGGUAGGGGCAGAGGGAAUUUCCGGUGGAGCGAUGAAAUGCGUUGAGAUCGGAAAGAACACCUACGGCGAAAGCACUCUGCUGGGCCGACACUGACACUGAGAGACGAAAGCUAGGGGAGCAAAUGGGAUUAGAUACCCGCGUAGUCCCUGUCUCUUAUAA